RNAcentral lists this long non-coding RNA (1742 nucleotides) under Ananas comosus (pineapple). RNAcentral describes it as "long non-coding RNA (ACOM_LNC009021)". Lineage: Eukaryota; Viridiplantae; Streptophyta; Magnoliopsida; Poales; Bromeliaceae. The record is from RNAcentral.
ACUAUGACGUGCUUUUUUCCUUUAGGGUGCGUUUGGUUUGCAUUAUAAAAGAUUACUAAGAAUAAAAAAUAUUCGAGAAUCUUAUUCCUAUUCAUCCUAUUACUAAGAAUGUGAAAUUUUUGUAUUUGGUUCGCACGAUAAUAUUAAUUAGCCAUGUUAUUUAAUAUUACAAAAAAUAUACAAUUUAUUUAUUUAUUUAAUUUUAUAUAAUAUUACCAAAAGUUUCAACAUCUUUUUAGAAAAAAGGGAGAGAGAGUAUAAGUUAGAGAGAGAGAGCAUAAUUAAAAAAAUGGAAAGAAAAAUAUAGUCGAAAUUAAAGGGAGUGAGAGAGUUGAAAUUUUAGAAAGAGAUAGAGAGAGAAAGCUUAGUUUCGAGAGAGAAAAAAAAGUUGAAUUUUAGAGAGAAAAAUAAGUUUAGAGAGAGAUAUAAUACUAGAGUGUAAAGAAAAAUAAUAUCAAUUAGCAGGCGGAUAAAAAAAAAGAAAGAGAUUAGACAUAUUAUGAUUACCCUAAUUUAUUAAUAUGAGGAUACCCACCCUCCCUCAAGGGAAUGAGAUUAGUACUUUGAGGUGAAUCUUAUUCCCAAGUGAAUCCAAUAUUACCAACUAGAUUACUUAGUGCGUUUAGCCAAACACUGUCAUAUUUUUUUUAUUCCCAUUGGAUUACUAAGAAUCUUUAAAAGAUAGUGCGAACCAAACGCAUCCUUAAAGGGAUAAUUGUCUAUACACCCCUCAUGCGUCUGAAAAUAUCCGAUCUAUUAUUUUUUUUUUCUUUCUAAAAUGCCUCUUAUAUGUUUCACCGUUAUUUCAAAAUAUCCCCGCAGUUAUCCCCUGUUAGCUUAAUUCGAAUUAAACAUGGGUUAAAUGUAUACUAAAGUUAAAACCUAUAUAAAAUAUCUAUUUUAUCCCUAUCUUAUUAUGCUAAUCCCUUAAGUUAUCAUCUUUCUCUCCCAACUUGCGCCGGCUCCUCCGCCUCCACCUCGCCGGCUCCGCCGCUUUCACCUCGCCACAUCUCCUCCCAGACCACCACCACCUCCCACACCUCCACCUCCAACACCACCUCUCUCGUUGCUCUCGUCGUCCUCCUCCUCCGCCGAUCUCGUCGUCCUCCUCCUCCGCAGCCGCUCUCGUCCUCCGCCGCUCUCGUCCUCCGCCGCUCUCGUCGUCGCUCUCCUCCUCCGCUGCUCUCGUCGUUGUCGUCGUCCUCCUCCGCUGCCGCCUUGGCCGGCGCCGGGAGCAAGAGGGCCGCAGCGACGAUCCUGUCUCGCUCGAGGGAGCAAGAGGACUGCCGCCUCCUCUGUAGCUCCAGCGAGAACUCACUUCCGGGGCCGGGGCCGAGCCCGAGCCCGAAAUUCCACUUCCGGGCCAUCCCGGACGGACUCACCGACAACCGGGCUCGCUCGGCCGUGCGGUUGCUGGAGCUCGACGCGUCCCUACGUGGUCCACGAGGCCAGUUUGGCCUUCUGGACCGGAUAAGAGGGAGGUCCACGGUGGACCUCCCUCUCAUUAUANUCCACCUCGCCGGCUCCGCCGCUUUCACCUCGCCACAUCUCCUCCCAGACCACCACCACCUCCCACACCUCCACCUCCAACACCACCUCUCUCGUCGCUCUCGUCGUCCUCCUCCUCCGCCGAUCUCGUUGUCCUCCUCCUCCGCAGCCGCUCUCGUCCUCCGCCGCUCUCGUCGUCGCUCUCCUCCUCCGCCGCUCUCGUCGUCGUUGUCGUCCUCCUUCGCCGCAGCCUU